This is a long non-coding RNA of Syngnathoides biaculeatus (alligator pipefish), 2521 nucleotides long. RefSeq lists it as uncharacterized. NCBI's taxonomy places the organism in Eukaryota, Metazoa, Chordata, Actinopteri, Syngnathiformes, Syngnathidae. The record is from RefSeq and is a predicted model, not a curated record. The transcript has 3 exons.
UCAAUGGAUGACACUGAUCUGACCACAGAUCACGUCUGAUGAUGCCCACAAUGGUCAAAGGGGGUUCCUCACAGGCUUUGUGUGUUUGCUCAGACACGUAAAAAAUUAGAGGGAACAUUGGUCUUGACAAAACAUUUAUGGGAAAUAACAAAGUCAACUGCGCUGCUCCAGGCCCAUCCAGGGAUCUGUCAGGCAUGACAUCACGUGAGCUGAGUAGCCAACACUUCCACGGACAGUCAGCAAUGGCAUCUUGACGUCUUUUCGGGCAGUCCCUUUGCCAAUAUCCCUUCUCUCCACAGUAGUUGCAAGUGUCAUUAUCGAAGUCACCACUCUUCCGGUCUAUGUGAUGGUACGCCAGGACAAGUUUGGAUCCAUCUUGGCCUUCUGUCAGGUAACUGUUAACGGACCCGGAACCCAUUUUUUUCCAUGCCAUGACAGGAGGUGGCAAGCUGCCAGCAGGAGCCAGCUCAGUAGCCUGAGAGCAGGAUGGAGCAACAGCAGUAGUACUCCAACUUCAGGAAUCGCCUCUAUGUGGCAUUGGAGACACUGAAGAAUUCUUGGCAACAAUGAGAGAACACGGGCUCAUUCCCUCAAUUACCAAUUGAACUACCCGCUAUUUCUCUCAUUGCUCAACAACAACAGCAGCAGCAGCAGCAGCAGCUCGAUCUACAUUGCGACGAGCAAAUCAUUUGCUGAAUACGCAGCUCCUGCCUAGGGCACCCUGGGCUUCCUCCUCCAAUAUUCAGAAACUGGAGAGGGCGCAGUCAGACGUGGCUCACAAAAUAACGGCCAACUUUGAAAAAACUCCUAUCGACGCUGUCCUGCAUGAAGCCCUCCCGGUUAAAUUUGGCAUGUUUUAAAAAGGCAGAUGACGGGUCCCACCUUCCCGACAACGAUGACAGAAGGGUACUAUACCAGACGCACCUUCCAAAAGGCUUAAAACGUGGCGACUGGAGACGUUUCACCACCCCUAUGCUGUCCAACCUCAACCUCCCCUUCGGCAGACAAGGAAACUGCAAAUAACCCCAAUAUUCCAUGGCUCCUCCACCUCCCAUCCAUUUCACGCCCAUCCCGAAAUCUGCAUCCCCUUCCAACAACUAGCUGCAGCUACGGAAACGCUUUUGGCACACGGCCCAACAGACCUGUUCGUUUUCACUGAUGGAUCCACCCUUAACGGCACAGAGAACGGAGAUGCCGGGUUAGUGGUCUUCAGAGGCGACUCCUUGAUCCACUCCUGGCAUGCACCCACCGGGACACUUUGCAGCUCUUUUCAUGCCGAAAAGGCUGCACUGAACGCAGCCAUCACUUGGUUCGGACAGGGUUCGGACAGAAAUACAACUGGUCCUCAGCCUCUACCAUCAUGAACAGCCAGUCCCUCUUUAAAUCCCUCAACAACCCCACUGCCUUAGACCUUCUACCCUUUCCAUCAACUCCAACGUUGUAACCUUUCCCCCACCAAAAACAUCCAACUAAUAUGGGUUCCGGGCCAUUGCAACCUCCCAGGCAACAACCUUGCAGAUGAACAGGCCAAACUCGGUUCCUCCCUUCCCCAACAAAUCACUCCACUUGACGCCCAAACACGCUUAGCAAUCAUCCACAGUAGUUGCAAACCCUCUCUAUCUAUCCACCCCCGUAUCCUUUCCCUCACCUCCUCCCGAACUAAUCAGGAAGAAGUGUCCCAGUUGUCCAAAAAAGACUUCUGAGGAUCAACCCCAGGUGCCUCGAGUGACUCAAAGAAGAAGAAAUACGAAGCAGCAGCAGCUUGUGUGCAUGCAAAGGGGAGGUAGUGAAGCGGUUGGAAGAGGAGGAGGGGGCCAUUGGCCAUCAUCAUCACUGGGUUGCUCAGGUUGCCGUUACAGUUGUGAAGGUUAUGUGAGUACACUGUCACUGGUGUUGUCCUGAGGUAGAGCAACAGGGAAGCUCAGACACAGUGUCACAGGAGGAGAUACACAGUUAUCACUUUCUUUACACUUUUUUUCAAUUUUCCCCCAUCUAAAUUCUUUUGACUAUUCUCUCACUUAUUAACGUCUGUCAAUCAUAUUUCCAGACAUUCUGUAUUUUUCUCAAUGUCUUCUAAAUCCUCAAUUUUAAUUGUUUUUUUCUUCUUUAAACUACAUUUCUCCUCACCCAACCCUUCUUUUAAACUGCUGAAUACUUAAACUUCUGGUGACUGGAAAACCAUAGUCAGUUACCCAUUUCUUUAUCCACGCGAUAGAUUUCUCCCAAUAUUUCCCCCUCAUAUGGGUCAUAAUUGGUGAAGUGUACACUGAUAAACCCCAUUUUUUGCUCUUACUACUGGUUUUGCUCUUCCCACUCCCUAUUUUCUGGAAGCACUUCUCUUUAUCACAAUAUUCUAUGUCUUCAUCUUCGAAAUCGCCGGGGCCUUGAACCCCUAAUUGUUCCAACCCCCUCACUGAAUUUAAGACCGGGAACUCUAUCCCUCGCUAUUAGGUCUUAUGGCACCGAACCCCUCAGAUCUUGGGGCCUUGACCCCUCACUGAACUUUACUUUAUGGUACAGA